CGUCGACGUUAAUGGAAAUAAGAAUUCGUCGGAGGAAAAAAAAUCAUGUUUCGGGGAAUUAAUUUCGCCGUUCUAGCGGUGUACGCUGUUAUUGUUGCGUCGGCCUGUUUCGUCGCGCCCAUCCUCGCGAGAGAUAAGCCGAGCACCGACGUUGUCAUACGAUUUGGAUAACGCUGUGACAAUUGCCGAGGAAGUGGACGACGCAACGGAUGAAAUGAAACAUGUCUUAUGUGAAUGAAGUGUACCUGGAAUUUGUUAAUAAAUCUUAAACUAUGGAUUUAUUCGUCGAAA
Molecule: long non-coding RNA, 291 nt
Organism: Megalopta genalis
Lineage: Eukaryota; Metazoa; Arthropoda; Insecta; Hymenoptera; Halictidae
Source: RefSeq, a predicted model, not a curated record